AUGAAUUGCUUGAUUAAUCGGACUACAUGGUCACUGACAUCUCUUCCAACCCAGAAAAUCUGUGAUGAUCUUGGCCUUUGGAAGCAAAGAAGACAGUGGAAACUGUGGAGAAAUGUCAUAUCAGCUAAGUUUUGGAGUCUUGCAUUCUUGCAAAAGGUAUCCUUUCCGAAUCCCAGGGGUGCACCUCUUCACCUCACUAUAUCUUGGUGCCCAACGUUUUUGGCUCUCCUGAAAGCUACUCCUGUACCCUGGAUCGUCCAUGAGGACACAGCUUCUCAGUUGCCUCUAGGGAGAAAGCACUCAUGGAAGUCACCGAGAUGCCACUGCAACCUCUGCAACCAUCCCAGCCUGAAGCCCUGGACAUUGCCUACAGCCAAUGCCUUUCUCUCCUGACAAUAGGAAGGGACAGCUCUACAACCAUUCUCAGCUCCAAAGAAGCUACAGAAGACUGAGACCAUCACCCCUUUCCCCUUACAUAUUUGGAGAGGAGGGAGAUGACAUGGGCAUUGCAUCCCCAGAAACUCAGGCAAACCAUUAUCAGUGAAAUUCCUUUGCUCCCUUACAUCCUCAUGACUCUUAGCCUAAAACAUCUAGUGACCCCUAUAGGACCCUGAGAUGAUUGUGCUCCUUUGAUCCUCCUUUAGAUUUAAGAUGGACAGAGAGAUGCACCUCCAGGAUACACCUUGAUUCUAUCAGGCUACAUCUCAGACAUCUGGCUGUUCCCUAAAACUAAAGAAUCUUUUUAUGAGGGUCAUUCCCUAUGUCUCCAGGCAGACCCCAGUCAGAUGACCACUCCACUCCACCAAAUGCCUGAGUGACUACCACUCUAGAGUCAUGUCCAUACUGUGACACAGCAUUUGUUGCAAGAGUGUAAAAUCCCCAGAACUGAUAUCAUCUGGGGGACAUCUUUUCCAUCCAUGCUGUCCUCCCAGGGUGACAUCUUUUCCAUCCAAGGUGUCCUCCCAGGGUGAUAGCCUUUCUAUCCAUGCUGUCCUCCCAAGACGCAGCCUUCCAUCUUGCUUUUCUACCUGUACCAACCUCCUGGCCAUUCUCAACUUUACUCUCUAAAUUAAUAAAUUUCUCUUUAUUUUUAAGCUAAGUUUUGGA
Molecule: long non-coding RNA, 1107 nt
Filed under: Monodelphis domestica (gray short-tailed opossum)
Lineage: Eukaryota; Metazoa; Chordata; Mammalia; Didelphimorphia; Didelphidae
Description: lncRNA (ENSMODG00000047088.1)
Source: RNAcentral